UACGUAGGGGGCUAGCGUUGUCCGGACUUAUUGGGCGUAAAGAGCGUGUAGGCGGCCAGGUAGGUCUGGUGUGAAAACUCGAGGCUUAACCUCGAGAUGUCAUCGGAAACCAUCUGGCUAGAGUCCGGAAGAGGAGAGUGGAAUUCCCGGUGUAGCGGUGAAAUGCGCAGAUAUCGGGAGGAACACCUGCGGCGAAGGCGGGUUGCUGGGCCGACACUGACGCUGAUGCGCGAAAGCCAGGGGAGCGAACGGG
RNAcentral lists this ribosomal RNA (253 nucleotides) under uncultured bacterium. Its description in RNAcentral is "partial 16S ribosomal RNA". It matches the Rfam family "Bacterial small subunit ribosomal RNA", at positions 524 to 776 of the family's 1533-position model. The record is from RNAcentral.